CCUANGGGUGGCAGCAGUGGGGAAUAUUGGACAAUGGGCGAAAGCCUGAUCCAGCAAUGCCGCGUGAGUGAUGAAGGCCUUAGGGUUGUAAAGCUCUUUUACCCGGGAUGAUAAUGACAGUACCGGGAGAAUAAGCCCCGGCUAACUCCGUGCCAGCAGCCGCGGUAAUACGGAGGGGGCUAGCGUUGUUCGGAAUUACUGGGCGUAAAGCGUACGUAGGCGGCUUUGUAAGUUAGAGGUGAAAGCCCGGAGCUCAACUCCGGAAUUGCCUUUAAGACUGCAUCGCUUGAAUCACGGAGAGGUGAGUGGAAUUCCGAGUGUAGAGGUGAAAUUCGUAGAUAUUCGGAAGAACACCAGUGGCGAAGGCGACUCACUGGACAUGUAUUGACGCUGAGGUACGAAAGCGUGGGGAGCAAACAGGAUUAGAUACCCCANUANUC
This 440-nucleotide ribosomal RNA is filed under the name uncultured bacterium. RNAcentral describes it as "bacterial SSU rRNA". It matches the Rfam family "Bacterial small subunit ribosomal RNA", at positions 338 to 795 of the family's 1533-position model. The record is from RNAcentral.